Molecule: ribosomal RNA, 812 nt
Filed under: uncultured bacterium
Lineage: Bacteria
Description: bacterial SSU rRNA
Rfam family: Bacterial small subunit ribosomal RNA
Source: RNAcentral
GUGCUUAACACAUGCAAGUCGAACGAUGAAACCUUAGCUUGCUAAGGUGGAUUAGUGGCGCACGGGUGAGUAAUAUAUAGAUAACGUGCCUCUUAGUCUGGGAUAGCCAUUGGAAACGAUGAUUAAUACCGGAUACUCCUUCUCAUUAUAAUUUGAGUUGGGAAAGUUUUUCGCUAAGAGAUCGGUCUAUAUCCCAUCAGCUUGUUGGUAGUGUAAGAGACUACCAAGGCAAUGACGGGUAGCGGGUUUGAGAGGAUGAUCCGCCACACUGGUACUGAGACACGGACCAGACUCCUACGGGAGGCAGCAGUGAGGAAUAUUGCACAAUGGAGGAAACUCUGAUGCAGCAACGCCGCGUGGAGGAUGACGCAUUUCGGUGUGUAAACUCCUUUUAUAGGUCAAGAAAAUGACGGUAGCCUAUGAAUAAGCACCGGCUAACUCCGUGCCAGCAGCCGCGGUAAUACGGAGGGUGCAAGCGUUAUUCGGAAUCACUGGGCGUAAAGGACACGUAGGCGGGAAGCCAAGUCUGAUGUGAAAUCCUACAGCUUAACUGUAGAACUGCAUUGGAAACUGGUUACCUAGAGUAUGGGAGGGGGAGAUGGAAUUAGUGGUGUAGGGGUAAAAUCCGUAGAUAUCACUAGGAAUACCUAAAGCGAAGGCGAUCUCCUGGAACAUUACUGACGCUAAGGUGUGAAAGCGUGGGGAGCAAACGGGAUUAGAUACCCCGGUAGUCCACGCCCUAAACGAUGUUCACUAGUCGUCGGGAUGCUAGUCAUCUCGGUGAUGCACUUAACAGAUUAAGUGAACCGCCU